UGUUGGUUCUCCCGCAACGCUACUCUGUUUACCGUGGUCAGGUCCGGAAGGAAGCAGCCAGAGCAGACGACGUGUGUGCCGGGAUGUAGCUGGCAGGG
Molecule: signal recognition particle RNA, 98 nt
Filed under: Klebsiella pneumoniae
Lineage: Bacteria; Pseudomonadati; Pseudomonadota; Gammaproteobacteria; Enterobacterales; Enterobacteriaceae
Description: signal recognition particle sRNA small type
Rfam family: Bacterial small signal recognition particle RNA
About the family: The signal recognition particle (SRP) is a universally conserved ribonucleoprotein involved in the co-translational targeting of proteins to membranes. Archaeal SRP consists of a 7S RNA and homologues of the eukaryotic SRP19 and SRP54 proteins. In most bacteria, the SRP consists of a 4.5S RNA and the Ffh protein (a homologue of the eukaryotic SRP54 protein).
Source: RNAcentral